AGUGCCCACACACUCCCUCCAGACCCCUACCCAUGCAUAAUGCUGCCUGAAACUUCUGCAAGUGAAGUGUGAAAUGUCUGGACAGUGUCCUGAGUGAUAGUCAAUGAACAGUGUGCCAUGCGCUGUGUGCACAUACAUUUUUCACUAAUCAAGCAGCUUUGCCAAAUGCUGGCAGCGAGGCCGGCUGCCUAGACAGCCUUACACAAACGCCGGCCCUGCCCUCUUCCUCGGGUUUCUGACGAUGUGUCCCGGAUGACCAGUUAGCUGGCAGAGCUACUGUCUAGAACCACUCUGUAUGGAGAUGCAGGGCGACUUGGGGGGGGGGGGCCGAGUGGCUUCCCACACUCUCUAUUACUGUUUCACCACUUUUCGUUGCCCGCUGUCUCCUGCCUGAAACGCCAACACCUCCGUUAAACCUAUUUGGGGUGAUCCAAUCAUGUGGAACCUCUGUGACUCCUGUUUUCCUUUGCUCGCUUAUCCACUCUUCAGCAUAACACCACUGGCAGGUGCUGUGUUAACUAAAGACAAAGAUCAUCAAGUAGAAGGCUCACACCAGCUCCACUGCUUGCAAAGAUGUAAUUUAUAUGUCUGGAGCCCCUUGGCACUGGUCACAUUGUAUUUUCUGAAUAAAUUCACAGUUCUUUUAACCAAA
Long non-coding RNA from Bombina bombina (fire-bellied toad), 652 nucleotides. RefSeq lists it as uncharacterized. The record is from RefSeq and is a predicted model, not a curated record. Lineage: Eukaryota; Metazoa; Chordata; Amphibia; Anura; Bombinatoridae. The transcript is spliced from 2 exons.